GCUCUCACCCAUUGUGAACUUACCUAUCGUUCCCUCGGCGGGCUCAGCGCGCGGCCGGCCUCCGGGCCACCGGGCGUCCGCCGGGGACAACCAAACCCGAAUUUUUCGUGUAUAUCUGAGGGGCGAAAGCCCGAAAACAAAAUGAAUCAAAACUUUCAACAACGGAUCUCUUGGCUCUGGCAUCGAUGAAGAACGCAGCGAAAUGCGAUAAGUAAUGUGAAUUGCAGAAUUCAGUGAAUCAUCUAAUCUUUGAACGCACAUUGCCCCCCGCCGGCACUCCGGCGGGGCAUGCCCUGUCCGAGCGUCAUUUUCAACCCCUCAGGGGCACCCCUUUCGGGGGUUCGGCGCCUGGUGCUUGGGAUAGCGUCCUCCGGUGCCCCUGUCCCCCAAAUUCAGUGGCGGUCGCGCCGCAGCCUCCCCUGCGUAGUAGCACACCUCGCACCGGAGAGCGGCUCGGCCACGCCGUGAAACCCCCC
RNAcentral lists this ribosomal RNA (476 nucleotides) under fungal endophyte. RNAcentral describes it as "eukaryotic LSU rRNA". The stretch from base 151 to 307 matches the Rfam family "5.8S ribosomal RNA". Lineage: Eukaryota; Fungi. The record is from RNAcentral.